This is a long non-coding RNA of Bos indicus x Bos taurus (hybrid cattle), 356 nucleotides long. Lineage: Eukaryota; Metazoa; Chordata; Mammalia; Artiodactyla; Bovidae. The record is from Ensembl.
GAGAGAUCAAAAGGUGCUGAAAGCCCUUGCCCUCAAAACACACCUCUAGUUAUUGGGGAGCUAGGGAAAUGUAGAUUCUAAUAAAUAUGGCUUGCAGGAGUCGAUGAACAAAGGUACUUAAUGCAGACCUAAGCCUCCGUUGAUAUUGCUCCGCUAGCAGUAUCUAAAUAUUCAAAAGCAAAGUGGCUCUCUCGCUGCCAUGACACUCAAUCAAAGCACCUAGAGUGGGCUGGCCGAUACCAGAGGGGGUACCAAGCAGAGCAAGGACAGAGAAAGGCACUGGGAGAGCACCAGAAUUGGAAAUAGAGCAGCCAUUUGGAUUUGGGCAGGAAGCAGCCGUGCACAGCUUUGGAUCC